CUUGAAAUGGGCUGAGUCCCUCUUGCUCACCCUUGACUUGGAAAAACCAGUUUCUCUUUUAUUGUCUGUUACUAAUCUCUAUUCUAAAAAUUCAGCUCAAUUCUCAACCAUACUCCAAACUCUCUCUUUUCCAGCUACCUUUACUCCCUCUCCUUCAAUUCCACUUUCCUCUGCUUACUUUUUUUUUUUUUCUGACAGGGUCUCACUUUGUCGCCCGGGCAGGAGUGCAGUGGCUCAAUCUUGGGCUCACUGCAGCCUCAACCUCCCAGAGGCGGGGUUUCACCAUGUUGCCCAGACUGGUCUUGAACUCCUGAGCUUAAGCAAUCCACCUGCCUCGGCCUCCCAAAGUGUUGGGAUCACAGGCGUGAGCCACCGCAUCCGGCCUCAUGUUCUUUUUCAUUAAAGAGAGAAAUCAACUAUUCAGGACCGGCCCCCACCUUUCCUCAGGAGUCAUUUCUGUUCCGCACAGGCCUGCUGAACUGGGUGCUUUAUAUAGGACACUGUCAUCUCUCAAGUACCCAUCUUGGAGGGUACGGACCCCACAUGAGGGUGAGGCUCUCUGCACACUCCAGAGGUCCCCAGGCAGGUGGCUGGGACACUAUUUGCAAUCAGCAAGGAACCCUGCUGCCCUUAGACUCCCCACAGAGCAAGCAGAACUUGCAGAAUGGGGUAAAAACACUCUAUUAAAGAUUUUUUAAACCUA
RNAcentral lists this long non-coding RNA (703 nucleotides) under Homo sapiens (human). RNAcentral describes it as "MIR205 host gene". Lineage: Eukaryota; Metazoa; Chordata; Mammalia; Primates; Hominidae. The record is from RNAcentral.